CUGGUACUCAGUCGCUUACCACCUGAACCUACAUGUAGCCCGUGAUGGCGCUAAUGAAAGUGGUGACUGAGAUGGCUCCUCCAUCCAAGGGAUAUAGUCCCACUUUAUUUUUCCAAAUACCUGGCUGUGAGUAUGUCUCCAAAGUAACAGAAAGGAUGGGCAAACUCCUCCACUGAUGGAUGGAGCUGCUUGCGUCCCCUCCGGCAGCUUUGCUUCCCUGGCCAGUGUCUGAAGCCAGUCUGUGUUGGUGACAAGUGACCACUGCACCUGCUUCAGAGCAAUGAGAUCACAAGCUCCAUCUGCUUGCUUGUUUCCCGUUCCUUGGGAAGCCCUGGG
RNAcentral lists this long non-coding RNA (336 nucleotides) under Cricetulus griseus (Chinese hamster). RNAcentral describes it as "lncRNA (ENSCGRG00015030433.1)". Lineage: Eukaryota; Metazoa; Chordata; Mammalia; Rodentia; Cricetidae. The record is from RNAcentral.